UGGCGGUCUGGGAGAAAGACAACAAGUUGCAGAACAUAGAAGAAGUGUUCACGAUCCCAGCAUGUGGGUUAAAACUCAGAAGAACCCAACUGAGUGAACAGAAGAUAAACUUCUUGGACAUAAAUAUUACACUUAACAGAGAGGAAAUGACAAUGGCGAUUUAUAGGAAGCCCCAGUACCAGCCCAUCAUUGUACUGAAUUGGUCCCCUGACCCAGUAUCCAUUAAAAAAUCCGCCUUCAGGGCUUUCUUUAGGAGGGCAUAUUUGUAUUGUACGAACCAGAAGAGCCUACAGGAGGAAAUCGAAUACAUCUUUAACAUAGGCAGACAACAUGGCUACACAAUAGGUUUUGUUAAAUCUAUA
Molecule: long non-coding RNA, 362 nt
Filed under: Androctonus crassicauda
Lineage: Eukaryota; Metazoa; Arthropoda; Arachnida; Scorpiones; Buthidae
Source: RNAcentral